This 256-nucleotide long non-coding RNA is filed under the name Vitis vinifera (wine grape). Its description in RNAcentral is "long non-coding RNA (VVIN_LNC003262)". The record is from RNAcentral. Lineage: Eukaryota; Viridiplantae; Streptophyta; Magnoliopsida; Vitales; Vitaceae.
ACAUAUUCUAAUGAGUUUUUUGAGUAUUGCAGUUGAAAAUGCCUUUGUGAAUAGAUCUGGUAAAUUAUCACUUGAUCUUACUCAUUGAAUAGCAUUUUGAUAACUCUUUUGGAGGUGAUGAAUGUAAAAGAACUUGGGUCAUAUAUGCUUAAUUUUAUCACCCUUAAUACAUCCUUCUUUAAUAUGUGCAAUGCAUACAACAUUAUCUUCAUAUAACUUGGUAACAUUACCUUUAAUGGAGGGUAGUUCACCAUUG